This 477-nucleotide long non-coding RNA is filed under the name Helianthus annuus (common sunflower). Its description in RNAcentral is "hypothetical non coding rna". Lineage: Eukaryota; Viridiplantae; Streptophyta; Magnoliopsida; Asterales; Asteraceae. The record is from RNAcentral.
GAGAAUACGAUAGAGAGAGAGAGAGAGAAAGUAGAAGGGCGACAACGACAGAGAUAUGGUCGCAUCCUUCACCUUCGACGCCUACGUCUGAAAUUCGGAAGAUAUUCAACACUUCGAUUUGUUCGACCUCUGAGAUACCAAAUUAGAUGGAGACACCAUUUUUGUAGUUAGACUUGCAGUUGCUGGUGUUGCAUCUGCAGGGACGUAUGGAAUCCAAGUUUGGAGUGCAUUUAAGGCUAGACCAGUCACACCUGUAGUUCACAAUUUUUUUCAUGGCAGUUUUCAACCUCAAAAAAAGGAGGAACGGAGUAAGAAGUCUUCAAUUAUGCUACUUCGUACACUGACUCACCGCCACAAUCAAGUAGUAAAUCCUUAAGGUUUUGACCAACAUGACCUUAGAACAUAAUAACCACUUUUCAUAUACGCAUAAAUCUCGUACCACUUAGCCUAAUUUUUAUGUAUUUAGUAUAGUAAAGG